GCAAUGGUGGUUCAGUGGUAGAAUUUUCCCCUUCCCUGCGGGAGGCCUGGGUUUGACUCCCAGUCAAUGCA
RNAcentral lists this transfer RNA (71 nucleotides) under Loxodonta africana (African savanna elephant). It matches the Rfam family "tRNA". From Rfam's summary of the family: Transfer RNA (tRNA) molecules are approximately 80 nucleotides in length. Their secondary structure includes four short double-helical elements and three loops (D, anti-codon, and T loops). Lineage: Eukaryota; Metazoa; Chordata; Mammalia; Proboscidea; Elephantidae. The record is from Rfam by way of RNAcentral.